GACGAACGCUGGCGGCGUGCCUAAUACAUGCAAGUAGAACGCUGAAGGAGGAGCUUGCUUCUCUGGAUGAGUUGCGAACGGGCGAGUAACGCGUAGGUAACCUGCCUGGUAGCGGGGGAUAACUAUUGGAAACGAUAGCUAAUACCGCAUAAUAGUAGAUGUCGCAUGACAUUUGCUUAAAAGGUGCAAUUGCAUCACUACCAGAUGGACCUGCGUUGUAUUAGCUAGUUGGUGAGGUAACGGCUCACCAAGGCAACGAUACAUAGCCGACCUGAGAGGGUGAUCGGCCACACUGGGACUGAGACACGGCCCAGACUCCUACGGGAGGCAGCAGUAGGGAAUCUUCGGCAAUGGACGGAAGUCUGACCGAGCAACGCCGCGUGAGUGAAGAAGGUUUUCGGAUCGUAAAGCUCUGUUGUAAGAGAAGAACGAGUGUGAGAGUGGAAAGUUCACACUGUGACGGUAUCUUACCAGAAAGGGACGGCUAACUACGUG
This 495-nucleotide ribosomal RNA is filed under the name uncultured bacterium. RNAcentral's name for it is "partial 16S ribosomal RNA". It matches the Rfam family "Bacterial small subunit ribosomal RNA", at positions 28 to 507 of the family's 1533-position model. The record is from RNAcentral.